This 72-nucleotide transfer RNA is filed under the name Flavobacterium sp. RNAcentral's name for it is "tRNA-Ala". It matches the Rfam family "tRNA". From Rfam's summary of the family: Transfer RNA (tRNA) molecules are approximately 80 nucleotides in length. Their secondary structure includes four short double-helical elements and three loops (D, anti-codon, and T loops). Further hydrogen bonds mediate the characteristic L-shaped molecular structure. tRNAs have two regions of fundamental functional importance: the anti-codon, which is responsible for specific mRNA codon recognition, and the 3' end, to which the tRNAs corresponding amino acid is attached (by aminoacyl-tRNA synthetases). tRNAs cope with the degeneracy of the genetic code in two manners: having more than one tRNA (with a specific anti-codon) for a particular amino acid; and 'wobble' base-pairing, i.e. permitting non-standard base-pairing at the 3rd anti-codon position. The record is from RNAcentral. Lineage: Bacteria; Pseudomonadati; Bacteroidota; Flavobacteriia; Flavobacteriales; Flavobacteriaceae.
GGGGAUUAGCUCAGCUGGUAGAGCGCCUGCUUUGCACGCAGGAGGUCAACGGUUCGACUCCGUUAGUCUCCA